UCCCUGGUGGCUCAGAUGGUAAAGCCUCUGCCUGCAAUGAAGGAGACCCGGGUUCGAUUCCUGGGUUGGGAA
This 72-nucleotide transfer RNA is filed under the name Bos taurus (domestic cattle). It matches the Rfam family "tRNA". Rfam says of the family: Transfer RNA (tRNA) molecules are approximately 80 nucleotides in length. Their secondary structure includes four short double-helical elements and three loops (D, anti-codon, and T loops). RNAcentral also lists the same sequence under 2 other names. The record is from Rfam by way of RNAcentral. Lineage: Eukaryota; Metazoa; Chordata; Mammalia; Artiodactyla; Bovidae.